Molecule: ribosomal RNA, 279 nt
Filed under: uncultured bacterium
Lineage: Bacteria
Description: partial 16S ribosomal RNA
Rfam family: Bacterial small subunit ribosomal RNA
Source: RNAcentral
UGCCAGCAGCCGCGGUAAUACGAAGGGGGCGAGCGUUGUUCGGAAUCACUGGGCGUAAAGCGUACGUAGGCGGAUUAGCAAGUCAGAAGUGAAAUCCCAGGGCUCAACCCUGGAACUGCUUUUGAAACUGCUAAUCUAGAGUCCGGGAGAGGUGAGUGGAACUCCGAGUGUAGAGGUGAAAUUCGUAGAUAUUCGGAAGAACACCAGUGGCGAAGGCGGCUCACUGGCUCGAUACUGACGCUGAGGUGCGAAAGUGUGGGGAGCAAACAGGAUUAGAUA